RNAcentral lists this non-coding RNA (161 nucleotides) under Selaginella moellendorffii. Its description in RNAcentral is "rRNA SSU_rRNA_eukarya". It matches the Rfam family "Eukaryotic small subunit ribosomal RNA", at positions 1286 to 1466 of the family's 1831-position model. Lineage: Eukaryota; Viridiplantae; Streptophyta; Lycopodiopsida; Selaginellales; Selaginellaceae. The record is from Rfam by way of RNAcentral.
AGCCGUUCUCAGUUGGUGGAGUGAUUUGUCUGGUUAAUUCCUUUAACGAACGAGACCUCAGCCUGCUAACUAGCUACACGGAGGUUUACUUUCGUGGCCAGCUUCUUAGAGGGACUAUUCGCUCCCAGCGGAUGGAAGUUUGAGGCAAUAACAGGUCUGUG